GACGAACGCUGGCGGCGUGCUUAACACAUGCAAGUCGAACGGAAAGGCCUCUUUCGCUGGGUACUCGAGUGGCGAACGGGUGGGUAACACGUGAGUACCCUGCCCUCUACUUUGUGAUAACUUCAGGCAACUGGGGCUUAUACCUGAUAGCAGCUCCUGCUUCAUGGUGGGGGUUGGAGAGUUUCGGCGGUUGGGGAUGGACUGGCGGCUUAUCAGCUUGUUGGUGGGGUCGUGGGUUACGAACGCCUUGACGGGAAGCCGGCCUGAGAGGGUGAGAGGCCACAUUGGGACCUAGAGGAGGCAGAGACGCCGACGGGUGGAAGAAGUGGGGAAUCUUGAUCAAUGCGUGGCAGCCUGAUGAAGCAGCGCCGUGGGUGGGAUGACGGCCUUCGUGUUGUAAAACGGUUUCGCGCUUGACGAAGCUUUGUGUGACGGUAGUGGAUAAAGAAGCACCGGCUAACUACGUG
Molecule: ribosomal RNA, 467 nt
Filed under: uncultured bacterium
Lineage: Bacteria
Description: partial 16S ribosomal RNA
Rfam family: Bacterial small subunit ribosomal RNA
Source: RNAcentral